Molecule: ribosomal RNA, 584 nt
Filed under: uncultured eukaryote
Lineage: Eukaryota
Description: SSU rRNA
Rfam family: Eukaryotic small subunit ribosomal RNA
Source: RNAcentral
UCCAGCUCCAAUAGCGUAUAUWAAAGUUGUUGCAGUUAAAAAGCUCGUAGUUGAACCUUGGGUCUGGCUGGCCGGUCCGCCUCACCGCGAGUACUGGUCCGGCUGGACCUUUCCUUCUGGGGAACCUCAUGGCCUUCACUGGCUGUGGGGGGAACCAGGACUUUUACUGUGAAAAAAUUAGAGUGUUCAAAGCAGGCCUUUGCUCGAAUACAUUAGCAUGGAAUAAUAGAAUAGGACGUGCGGUUCUAUUUUGUUGGUUUCUAGGACCGCCGUAAUGAUUAAUAGGGAUAGUCGGGGGCGUCAGUAUUCAGCUGUCAGAGGUGAAAUUCUUGGAUUUGCUGAAGACUAACUACUGCGAAAGCAUUCGCCAAGGAUGUUUUCAUUAAUCAGGGAACGAAAGUUAGGGGAUCGAAGACGAUCAGAUACCGUCGUAGUCUUAACCAUAAACUAUGCCGACUAGGGAUCGGGCGGUGUUUCUAUGAUGACCCGCUCGGCACCUUACGAGAAAUCAAAGUUUUUGGGUUCUGGGGGGAGUAUGGUCGCAAGGCUGAAACUAAAGAAAUGACGAAGGCCCCCMMGGUGGC